CACAGGAUGUUUUGAAUGUGAAAACAUGGACGAUGAUUUCAAGACUUGCUGCUAUCGAAUACAGAUUGCCCCGUGAUCAAUUUAAUAGAUUAUUAACGUUUAUUAAUACCUAAAGUUGGUUUAGAAAAGUCAUUUGAAGUGAUUUGUAAAAGUAUAUAGGUAACUUUUGUAAUUUUAAAAAGUGACGUUGCGUCAUGUAAAGGGGCAUUUUUCUGGAUCAGACCGGUCUUCAGCAAAUCACAUUUUGGGUAGACAAUGACGGAUUUAAUCGGGAAAAAGACCCAAUUGUGAUGUUUAUGUGACAUAUAGGAGUGCCAAGAAAGAAGCUCGUCAAAGAUGGAAGAAGAAGAUACACCAUUGAGAGCAUCCUGUCAGGCUAUAUCACCGCCUGGUACAACAACUGCACCGCCCUCAACUGCAGGGCUCUCGGGGGUGGUGUGGUCUGUCCAACAAAUCACCGGGGGGGAACUACCUGCCCUCCAGGACACCUACACCACCCGAUGUCACAGGAAGGCAAAAAAGAUCAUCAAGGACAACAACCACCUGAGCCACUGCCUGUUCACCCCGCUAUCAUCCAGAAGGAGAGGUCAGUUGAGGUGCAUGAAAGCUGUGAUCGAGAGACUGAAAGACAGCUUCUAUCUCAAGGCCAUCAGACUGUUAAAUAACCAUCACUAGCACUUUAGAGGAUGCUGCCCUAUAUACAUAGACUUGAAAUCACUGGCCACUUUAAUAAUUGGAACACUAGUCACUUUAAUAAU
This is a long non-coding RNA of Oncorhynchus tshawytscha (Chinook salmon), 758 nucleotides long. Lineage: Eukaryota; Metazoa; Chordata; Actinopteri; Salmoniformes; Salmonidae. The record is from Ensembl.